Molecule: ribosomal RNA, 490 nt
Filed under: uncultured bacterium
Lineage: Bacteria
Description: partial 16S ribosomal RNA
Rfam family: Bacterial small subunit ribosomal RNA
Source: RNAcentral
GUGCACGCUGGCGGUAGGCCUAACACCUGCCAGUCGCACGGCAGCACAGUAAGAGCUUGCUCUUACGGGUGGCGAGUGGCGGACGGGUGAGGAAUACAUCGGAAUCUACUUUUUCGUGGGGGAUAACGUAGGGAAACUUACGCUAAUACCGCAUACGACCUACGGGUGAAAGCAGGGGAUCUUCGGACCUUGCGCGAUUGAAUGAGCCGAUGUCGGAUUAGCUAGUUGGCGGGGUAAAGGCCCACCAAGGCGACGAUCCGUAGCUGGUCUGAGAGGAUGAUCAGCCACACUGGAACUGAGACACGGUCCAGACUCCUACGGGAGGCAGCAGUGGGGAAUAUUGGACAGUGGGCGCAAGCCUGAUCCAGCCAUACCGCGUGGGUGAAGAAGGCCUUCGGGUUGUAAAGCCCUUUUGUUGGGAAAGAAAAGCAGCAGGUUAAUACCCCGCUGUUCUGACGGUACCCAAAGAAUAAGCACCGGCUAACUUCGU